Jaculus jaculus (lesser Egyptian jerboa) is the source of this 197-nucleotide small nuclear RNA. RefSeq annotates it as U2 spliceosomal RNA. The record is from RefSeq and is a predicted model, not a curated record. The transcript has a single exon. NCBI's taxonomy places the organism in Eukaryota, Metazoa, Chordata, Mammalia, Rodentia, Dipodidae.
AUAACUUCUUGGCCUUUUGGCUAAAAUCAAGUGUAGUGUCUGUUCUUACCAGUUUAAUAAUAUGGGAAGGUACGCAGAGAACAAGACUUUUUGUUUGUUUUUAAAGACUUGUUUUUAUUUAUUUGAGAGAGGGAGAAAGAGAGAGAGAGAGAGAGAAUGGGUGCACCAGGGCCUUCAGCCACUGCAAGUGAACUCCA